Molecule: ribosomal RNA, 492 nt
Filed under: uncultured bacterium
Lineage: Bacteria
Description: bacterial SSU rRNA
Rfam family: Bacterial small subunit ribosomal RNA
Source: RNAcentral
GAUGAACGCUAGCGGCAGGCUUAAUACAUGCAAGUCGAGGGGCAGCAUAAGUAGCAAUACUUGAUGGCGACCGGCAAACGGGUGCGGAACACGUACGCAACCUUCCUUUAAGUGGGGAAUAGCCCGGGGAAACCCGGAUUAAUACCCCGUAAUAUUAUGAUGUGGCAUCACAUUAUAAUUAUAGAUUCAUCGCUUAAAGAUGGGCGUGCGCCUGAUUAGGUAGUUGGCGGAGUAAUAGCCCACCAAGCCUGCGAUCAGUAACUGGUGUGAGAGCACGACCAGUCACACGGGCACUGAGACACGGGGCCCGACUCCGUACGGGAGGCAGCAGUAAGGAAUAUUGGUCAAUGGACGCAAGUCUGAACCAGCCAUGCCGCGUGGAGGAUGAAGGUCCUCUGGAUUGUAAACUUCUUUUAUUUGGGAANAAUGUGAUGAUUUCUUUAUCACUUUGACGGUACCAGAUGAAUAAGCACCGGCUAACUCCGUGCCAGC